AGGGCUGGUCAGGGACAGGCGAGGGUUCCAGGAGAAAGCAGGACGGGAGUCGCAGGUACAGAACGGGUCAGGGAGCAGGUGAGGCAGGCUGGUCAGGGACAGGCAGGGUCGAAACCGGGAGAGCAAUCUGGAGGGUAAUGCGGGAAAGACUAGCAUGCUGCAAAGUACGAUCUGGCACUGAGGUGAGAGUGAAGUGUGCCUAAAUACUAAUGGAGCUGAUAGGUUUAACAGAGUGAGAGAGAGAGACAGGGUGUGACUACCAGGUGACUAAGGAAUGUUAAUGCAGAAAAUAGUGGGACAGCUAUGUCAGUUCAAUUACCGACAAAGUUUGACGACAUAAGGCUUCUCCUUCCUGGGUACACUUGAGAGAAUCUUCUGAAGAGUCUGAACCUGUGAUUAGCUGUGGAUCAGACUGGAUGUAUGUGGACACACCUAGCCUCAGCAAACUGCAGUCAGCCAUGCAAACCAAAGUGACUUCAUGUGGC
Long non-coding RNA from Gymnodraco acuticeps, 485 nucleotides. RefSeq lists it as uncharacterized. Lineage: Eukaryota; Metazoa; Chordata; Actinopteri; Perciformes; Bathydraconidae. The record is from RefSeq and is a predicted model, not a curated record. The transcript has 3 exons.